RNAcentral lists this ribosomal RNA (250 nucleotides) under uncultured bacterium. RNAcentral's name for it is "partial 16S ribosomal RNA". It matches the Rfam family "Bacterial small subunit ribosomal RNA", at positions 524 to 773 of the family's 1533-position model. The record is from RNAcentral.
UACGGAGGGUGCGAGCGUUGUCCGGAAUCACUGGGCGUAAAGGGCGCGUAGGCGGUCUGCUAAGCGUGCGGUGAAAGCCCGGGGCUCAACCCCGGGUCGGCCGUGCGAACUGGUGGACUCGAGCACUGUAGAGGCAGGUGGAAUUCCGGGUGUAGCGGUGGAAUGCGUAGAGAUCCGGAAGAACACCGGUGGCGAAGGCGGCCUGCUGGGCAGUAGCUGACGCUGAGGCGCGACAGCGUGGGGAGCAAAC